Molecule: long non-coding RNA, 211 nt
Filed under: Lathyrus oleraceus (garden pea)
Lineage: Eukaryota; Viridiplantae; Streptophyta; Magnoliopsida; Fabales; Fabaceae
Description: Pisum sativum (pea) long non-coding RNA (PSAT_LNC012570)
Source: RNAcentral
AUGCCGUUCAUUCUCCCUUUUGGACGGGGCAUGAGGAUAAGGAAGAUUUUGGAUUGGAGUAGCGCUCACUACCUCUUUUCCCUUUGCAACUCUAGAACUCCUCCAUCUAGGCUUUUUCACUACCUCCCCUAUUACCUCAUCACUUGUAUUUUUCCCAAUCUCCACACUUAUUCCUUUUUCAACUUCACCAUUCUGUUCGUUAUUUUCAACU